Molecule: unclassified non-coding RNA, 295 nt
Organism: Macaca fascicularis (crab-eating macaque)
Lineage: Eukaryota; Metazoa; Chordata; Mammalia; Primates; Cercopithecidae
Rfam family: Metazoan signal recognition particle RNA
About the family: The signal recognition particle (SRP) is a universally conserved ribonucleoprotein. It is involved in the co-translational targeting of proteins to membranes.
Source: Ensembl
GCCGGACGUGGUGGCGCAUGCCUGUAAUCCCAGCUACUCGGGAGGCUGAGGCAGGAGAAUCGCUUGAACCCCGGAGGCGGAGGUUGCGGUGAGCCUGAGAUCGUGCCAUUGCACCACUCCAGCCUGGGCAACAAGAGCGAAACUCUGUCUCGAAAAAAAAGAAUGCAAAGGCAAAAAUGACUCUUUUCUUUUUUUUGAGACGGAGUCUUGCCCUGUUGCCCAGGCUGGAGUGCAGUGGCAUGAUCUCGGCUCACCGCAACCUCUGCCUCCUGGGUUUAAGUGAUUCUCCUGCCUC